AUGGCUCGUGGCGUGGGUCAUAUACACGAAGACAAUGCGUACAAAAUAUACGGAAGAUACAGCUCCGAUGCGGCACUUGAUUAUGUCUCGGACUUUAUUCUUGUCGUAGUGCCAUCAUCAUCCGAGAGCUAUGACCCGAUAACGAUCACCAUGGGGUCAUGUGUAUCUAGUAGUGUAGAUAGUACUGGUUUCAUGCUGGAAAGGCAGGCAGGAUGCUAG
This 219-nucleotide ribosomal RNA is filed under the name Triticum aestivum (bread wheat). Its description in RNAcentral is "partial small subunit ribosomal RNA". The record is from RNAcentral. Lineage: Eukaryota; Viridiplantae; Streptophyta; Magnoliopsida; Poales; Poaceae.